This 498-nucleotide ribosomal RNA is filed under the name uncultured bacterium. RNAcentral's name for it is "bacterial SSU rRNA". It matches the Rfam family "Bacterial small subunit ribosomal RNA", at positions 30 to 523 of the family's 1533-position model. The record is from RNAcentral.
AUUGAACGCUGGCGGAAUGCUUUACACAUGCAAGUCGAACGGCAGCACGGGGCAACCUGGUGGCGAGUGGCGAACGGGUGAGUAAUACAUCGGAACGUGCCCAAUCGUGGGGGAUAACGUAGCGAAAGUUACGCUAAUACCGCAUACGAUCUACGGAUGAAAGCGGGGGAUCGCAAGACCUCGCGCGAAUGGAGCGGCCGAUGUCAGAUUAGGUAGUUGGUGGGGUAAAGGCUCACCAAGCCAACGAUCUGUAGCUGGUCUGAGAGGACGACCAGCCACACUGGAACUGAGACGCGGUCCAGACUCCUACGGGAGGCAGCAGUGGGGAAUUUUGGACAAUGGGCGCAAGCCUGAUCCAGCCAUUCCGCGUGCAGGAUGAAGGCCUUCGGGUUGUAACUGCUUUUGUUACGGAACGAAACGGCGAGCUCUAAUACAGUUUGCUAAUGACGGUACCGUAAGAAUAAGCACCGGCUAACUACGUGCCAGCAGCCGCGGUAA